GUCACAAAUGCAAAGAAGUUACAAACAAGGAUAGAAAAUUGAAUGUUAUCUUGCCUCAAUCUUGUCUCUUUUAUAAGAGAGAUUUUCAUCUUGGUUUCGAUGGAUGUCGUUGAUGAAAAACUUUGACUUUAGCUGAUGCAUUUGCUAGAUUCCUGGAUGGCUUCCAUGUGCGUUAACUAAUAUGAUAUCCGCGCCAAUGAAUAAGAUAUUCCA
Molecule: long non-coding RNA, 213 nt
Filed under: Physcomitrium patens
Lineage: Eukaryota; Viridiplantae; Streptophyta; Bryopsida; Funariales; Funariaceae
Description: long non-coding RNA (PPAT_LNC000707)
Source: RNAcentral